GUGAGAGAGAGAGAGAGAGAGAGCUCCUGAUAUAUAUGUAUAUAUAUAUAUAUAUAUAUAUAUAUCUCUCUCUCUCUCUCCUGAUAUAU
This 89-nucleotide microRNA precursor is filed under the name Prunus dulcis (almond). RNAcentral's name for it is "sRNA ncRNA". The record is from RNAcentral. Lineage: Eukaryota; Viridiplantae; Streptophyta; Magnoliopsida; Rosales; Rosaceae.